Mercenaria mercenaria is the source of this 327-nucleotide long non-coding RNA. RefSeq lists it as uncharacterized. The record is from RefSeq and is a predicted model, not a curated record. The transcript is spliced from 3 exons. Lineage: Eukaryota; Metazoa; Mollusca; Bivalvia; Venerida; Veneridae.
CUUGUCAGUUGUAUGCGAAAUAAAGGUAGCGAAUGCAGCUCGUGAUUAGGAAAUUCCCCGGAAGCAUUUGGCUGGUUCCAAAUUCUUAAUGCGGAAUCUGAAUACUGGAACCAUAUACUGGAUUACAGUCCCUGAGAAUGAAAUAAAGCAAUGUGACAAUGGAUAGUGACAAUUUAGAUCUUAUUGAGGUUCCACCAGAUAGACUGCUCUUCAAUGAACAGCUGCACCAUAAACAAGAUAGCAAGUUGAAAAAGUUGAAGGUACAACUGAAGCAAGGUUCAACAUCAGACGGAAGCAAAGGUAUGUUGUAUGUUGUUUUCAAGAAAG